UACGAAGGGGGCUAGCGUUGCUCGGAGUUACUGGGCGUAAAGGGCGCGUAGGCGGAUAGUUUAGUUGGGGGUGAAAGCCCGGGGCUCAACCUCGGAACUGCCUUCAAUACUGGCUAUCUUGAGUACGGGAGAGGUGUGUGGAACUCCGAGUGUAGAGGUGAAAUUCGUAGAUAUUCGGAAGAACACCUGUGGCGAAGGCGACACACUGGCCCGUUACUGACGCUGAGGCGCGAAAGCGUGGGGAGCAAACAGG
This 253-nucleotide ribosomal RNA is filed under the name uncultured bacterium. RNAcentral describes it as "partial 16S ribosomal RNA". It matches the Rfam family "Bacterial small subunit ribosomal RNA", at positions 524 to 776 of the family's 1533-position model. The record is from RNAcentral.